GAUGAAGAACGUAGCGAAAUGCGAUAAGUAAUGUGAAUUGCAGAAUUCAGUGAAUCAUCGAAUCUUUGAACGCACAUUGCGCCCCCUGGUAUUCCGGGGGGCAUGCCUGUUCGAGCGUCAUUUCACCACUCAAGCCUCGCUUGGUAUUGGGCAACGCGGUCCGCCGCGUGCCUCAAAUCGACCGGCUGGGUCUUCUGUCCCCUAAGCGUUGUGGAAACUAUUCGCUAAAGGGUGUUCGGGAGGCUACGCCGUAAAACAACCCCAUUUCUAAGGUUGACCACGGAUCAGGUAGGGAUACCCGCUGAACUUAAGCAUAUCAAUAAGCGGAGGA
This 331-nucleotide unclassified non-coding RNA is filed under the name soil metagenome. RNAcentral describes it as "partial contains 5.8S ribosomal RNA, internal transcribed spacer 2, and large subunit ribosomal RNA". The stretch from base 1 to 120 matches the Rfam family "5.8S ribosomal RNA", at positions 35 to 154 of the family's 154-position model. The record is from RNAcentral.